GACAACUCCGGGAAACUGGAGCUAAUACCGGAUAAGCCCUUUGGGGGAAAGAUUUAUCGCCGAAGGAUCGGCCCGCGUCGGAUUAUCUUGUUGGUGGGGUAACGGCCUACCAAGGCUAUGAUCCCUAGCUGGUCUGAGAGGAUGAUCAGCCACACUGGGACUGAGACACGGCCCAAACUCCUACGGGAGGCAGCAGUGGGGAAUAUUGGACAAUGGGCGCAAGCCUGAUCCAGCCAUGCCCGCGUGAGUGAUGAAAGGCCCUAGGGUUGUAAAGCUCUUUCGCCAGGGAUGAUAAUGACAGCUACCUGGUUAAAACAAACCCCGGCUAACUCCGUGCCAGCAGCCGCGGUAAUACGAAGGGGGCUAGCGUUGUUCGGAAUUACUGGGCGUAAAGCGCAUGCAGGCGGAUCGCUAAGUCAGGGGUGAAAGCCCGAGGCUCAACCUCGGAACUGCCUUUGAUACUGGCGAUCUUGAGUCCGGGAGAGGUGAGUGGAACUCCGAGUGUAGAGGUGAAAUUCGUAGAUAUUCGGAAGAACACCAGUGG
RNAcentral lists this ribosomal RNA (544 nucleotides) under uncultured bacterium. RNAcentral describes it as "bacterial SSU rRNA". It matches the Rfam family "Bacterial small subunit ribosomal RNA", at positions 142 to 715 of the family's 1533-position model. The record is from RNAcentral.